RNAcentral lists this ribosomal RNA (266 nucleotides) under uncultured bacterium. Its description in RNAcentral is "partial 16S ribosomal RNA". It matches the Rfam family "Bacterial small subunit ribosomal RNA", at positions 793 to 1055 of the family's 1533-position model. The record is from RNAcentral.
GUCAACGCCCUAAACGAUGUCAACUAGUUGUUGGUAGAGUAAAAUCUAUGAGUAACGCAGCUAACGCGUGAAGUUGACCGCCUGGGGAGUACGAUCGCAAGAUUAAAACUCAAAUGAAUUGACGGGGGCCCCGCACAAGCGGUGGAUUAUGUGGAUUAAUUCGAUGCAACGCGAAAACCUUACCUGGCCUUGACAUGUACCGAAUUUACCAGAGAUGGUUUAGUGCUCGAAAGAGAACGGUAACACAGGUGCUGCAUGGCUGUCGU